Molecule: ribosomal RNA, 776 nt
Filed under: uncultured Neocallimastigales
Lineage: Eukaryota; Fungi; Neocallimastigomycota; Neocallimastigomycetes; Neocallimastigales
Description: partial large subunit ribosomal RNA
Rfam family: Eukaryotic large subunit ribosomal RNA
Source: RNAcentral
CGCAUCUGUGCAUGCAGCAUAUCAAUAAGCGGAGGAAAAGGAACUAACAAGGAUUCCCUUAGUAACGGCGAGUGAAGCGGGAAGAGCUCAAAUUUGAAAUCUUCAAGGUUUUACCUUGACGAAUUGUAGUUUAAAGAAGUGUUUUCUGUUGAAGUUUUGGUAAAAGUUCUUUGGAAUAGGACAUCAUAGAGGGUGAGAAUCCCGUAUUUGACCAUUAUUUUCAGCUGUGUGAUACACUUUCAAAGGAGUCGGAUUGUUUGGGAAUGCAGUCCAAAAUGGGUGGUAAAUUUCAUCUAAAGCUAAAUAUUGGCGAGAGACCGAUAGCGAACAAGUACCGUGAGGGAAAGAUGAAAAGAACUUGGAAAAGAGAGUUAAACAGUACGUGAAAUUAUCAAAAGGGAAGCGUUUGACACCAGUGUUGUUUUCUCGAAAAUCAAUUAAAAAGAGUUAGAUUUUGUUGUGUAUUGACCUUAAUAGCUUGCAUUUCAAUUUUCUUGCUCUUUUUAAUGCACUUUUCGUUUAACAAGUCAACAUCAGUUUCUUUUGUUGUAAAAAGGUCAUUGGAAGGUGGCUUUCUUUUCGGAGAAAGUGUUUAUAGCCUUUGACUCCUGCAAUCGGAGAGACUGAGGUCUGCAGCGUAGAUCCUUCGGGGUUAAAUAGCAUUUGUGCUAAGUUAUAGCAUUUUAUAGACAACUUGUUGACUAUGAUUUGUCUUGUAGCUUACUCGCUUAUGUUAUUUUACCUACGCUUAGGAUGUUGAUCUCUCACAGUCGAGC